ACUCAAAGGAAUUGACGGGGGCUCACACCAGCGGUGGAGCAUGUGGCUUAAUUCGAGGCUACGCGAAGAACCUUAUCCUAGGCUUGACAUGCACGGAUUAGGAGGCUGAAAGGUCUCUGACGCCGCAAGGUGGAACGUGCACAGGUGCUGCAUGGCUGUCGUCAGCUCGUGUCGUGAGAUGUCGGGUUAAGUCCCUUAACGAGCGAAACCCUUGUCCCUAGUUACCAGCGGGUCAUGCCGGGCACUCUAGGGAGACUGCCGGUGUCAAACCGGAGGAAGGCGGGGAUGACGUCAAGUCCUCAUGGCCCUUAUGCCUAGGGCUGCACACGUGCUACAAUGGGACGGACAAAGGGACGCGAGGCCGCAAGGCCGGGCAAAUCCCAAAAACCGUCCCCCAGUUCAGAUUGCGGGCUGCAACUCGCCCGCAUGAAGCCGGAAUCGCUAGUAAUCGCGGGUCAGCCAUACCGCGGUGAAUGUGUUCCUGAGCCUUGCACACACCGCCCGU
RNAcentral lists this ribosomal RNA (505 nucleotides) under uncultured bacterium. RNAcentral's name for it is "partial 16S ribosomal RNA". It matches the Rfam family "Bacterial small subunit ribosomal RNA", at positions 899 to 1397 of the family's 1533-position model. The record is from RNAcentral.